Molecule: long non-coding RNA, 249 nt
Organism: Sebastes umbrosus (honeycomb rockfish)
Lineage: Eukaryota; Metazoa; Chordata; Actinopteri; Perciformes; Sebastidae
Exons: 3
Source: RefSeq, a predicted model, not a curated record
AGGUGUGUGUGUGUAGGAGCCUCUGAACAGCCACACACGUGUUUUCAGUUAAUCUGGCUAAUUAGACCUCUGCUCAGGACUCUGUGGGCGUGUUUAGACUAAUUGAUUGACAUCUUCCAGAGUCUCCUGUUAGGUUUGUUGCACCUGUUAGGGCGGGACAAAUUACACCUUUAUCAUUCUUAUUGGUAGAUGAAGAUUUGUGACCUAAAUGUCUCAUCAUGGCACCUUCAACCUGAGCAGGUUGAGGUC